Molecule: ribosomal RNA, 277 nt
Filed under: uncultured bacterium
Lineage: Bacteria
Description: partial 16S ribosomal RNA
Rfam family: Bacterial small subunit ribosomal RNA
Source: RNAcentral
GACGAACGCUGGCGGCGUGCCUAACACAUGCAAGUGGAGCGACGAACCAGGCUUCGGCCUGGGGCAGAGCCGCGAACGGGUGAGUAACACGUGGGUAACCUGCCCCGAUGAUUGGGACAACCCGAGGAAACUCGGGCUAAUACCAAAUGUGCCCCGCAGCUUCAAGGCUGCUGGGGAAAGGAAGCUUCGGCCUCCGCAUCGGGAUGGGCCCGCGGCCCAUUAGCUUGUUGGUGAGGUAAUGGCUCACCAAGGCUACGAUGGGUAGCUGGUCUGAGAG